GUCGAGAAUUUUUCACAAUGGGGGAAACCCUGAUGGAGCGACGCCGCGUGGGGGAUGAAUGGCUUCGGCCCGUAAACCCCUGUCAUUUGCGAUCAAAGCGCAUUAUUUAAAAGAUGAUGUGUUGAUAGUAGCGAAAGAGGAAGGGACGGCUAACUCUGUGCCAGCAGCCGCGGUAAUACAGAGGUCCCGAGCGUUGUUCGGAUUCACUGGGCGUAAAGGGUGCGUAGGUGGUGGGGUAAGUCGGAUGUGAAAUCUCGGAGCUUAACUCCGAAACGGCAUUGGAAACUGCCCUGCUUGAGGGUUGGAGGGGGGACUGGAAUACUUGGUGUAGCAGUGAAAUGCGUAGAUAUCAAGUGGAACACCGGUGGCGAAGGCGAGUCCCUGGACAACACCUGACACUGAGGCACGAAAGCUAGGGGAGCAAACAGGAUUAGAAACCCCGGUAGUCC
RNAcentral lists this ribosomal RNA (449 nucleotides) under uncultured bacterium. Its description in RNAcentral is "bacterial SSU rRNA". It matches the Rfam family "Bacterial small subunit ribosomal RNA", at positions 354 to 796 of the family's 1533-position model. The record is from RNAcentral.